Molecule: ribosomal RNA, 211 nt
Filed under: uncultured bacterium
Lineage: Bacteria
Description: partial 16S ribosomal RNA
Rfam family: Bacterial small subunit ribosomal RNA
Source: RNAcentral
UACGAAGGGUGCAAGCGUUACUCGGAAUUACUGGGCGUAAAGCGUGCGUAGGUGGUGAGUUAAGUCUGUCGUGAAAGCCCCGGGCUCAACCUGGGAAUGGCGAUGGAUACUGGCUCGCUAGAGUGCGGUAGAGGAGAGUGGAAUUCCCGGUGUAGCAGUGAAAUGCGUAGAGAUCGGGAGGAACAUCAGUUGCGAAGGCGGCUCUCUGGAC